GGGGUAGGCGUGAAGGACGAGGACAGAAAGCCUGGGUCCAGUGGGUGGUGGUGGAGUAUCUUCUCUUGGAAAAACAAAUCAACUGUGUUAACAUCAACAAGGAAGUCUUCUCUGGAAUGAAGCUGUAUCUGUAGACAUGUCUCCCCCUGGCAAGCAGGCCUUCGCGGUAGCAAAUGAACCUCAUGUCAAACCCACCCCAAUAUCUCUGGGAUUUGGUUUGCGAGCCCUGGCACCACACUUUAUAUUUACAAAAGUCAAGAGGAAAGAGAGAUCGAAGAGGGGAGGCAUGAGGAGGAAACAGACAAGCACACACAGAGGCCAUUUUACUCCCAUGAAGAGGAGCAGAUGU
This is a long non-coding RNA of Leopardus geoffroyi (Geoffroy's cat), 349 nucleotides long. RefSeq lists it as uncharacterized. The transcript is spliced from 3 exons. The record is from RefSeq and is a predicted model, not a curated record. Lineage: Eukaryota; Metazoa; Chordata; Mammalia; Carnivora; Felidae.